Molecule: ribosomal RNA, 468 nt
Filed under: uncultured bacterium
Lineage: Bacteria
Description: partial 16S ribosomal RNA
Rfam family: Bacterial small subunit ribosomal RNA
Source: RNAcentral
GACGAACGCUGGCGGCGUGCUUAACACAUGCAAGUCGAACGGAAAGGCCCUGCUUUUGUGGGGUGCUCGAGUGGCGAACGGGUGAGUAACACGUGAGUAACCUGCCCUUGACUUUGGGAUAACUUCAGGAAACUGGGGCUAAUACCGGAUAGGAGCUCCUGCUGCAUGGGGGGGGUUGGAAAGUUUCGGCGGUUGGGGAUGGACUCGCGGCUUAUCAGCUUGUUGGUGGGGUAGUGGCUUACCAAGGCUUUGACGGGUAGCCGGCCUGAGAGGGUGACCGGCCACAUUGGGACUGAGAUACGGCCCAGACUCCUACGGGAGGCAGAAGUGGGGAAUAUUGCACAAUGGGCGGAAGCCUGAUGCAGCAACGCCGCGUGCGGGAUGACGGCCUUCGGGUUGUAAACCGCUUUCGCCUGUGACGAAGCGUGAGUGACGGUAAUGGGUAAAGAAGCACCGGCUAACUACGUG